This 440-nucleotide ribosomal RNA is filed under the name uncultured bacterium. RNAcentral's name for it is "partial 16S ribosomal RNA". It matches the Rfam family "Bacterial small subunit ribosomal RNA", at positions 338 to 795 of the family's 1533-position model. The record is from RNAcentral.
CCUACGGGUGGCAGCAGUGGGGAAUAUUGCACAACGGGGGAAACCCUGAUGCAGCGACGCCGCGUGAAGGAAGAAGUAUUUCGGUAUGUAAACUUCUAUCAGCAGGGAAGAAAAUGACGGUACCUGACCAAGAAGCCCCGGCUAACUACGUGCCAGCAGCCGCGGUAAUACGUAGGGGGCAAGCGUUAUCCGGAUUUACUGGGUGUAAAGGGAGCGUAGGCGGUUUAGCAAGUCAGAAGUGAAAGCCCGGGGCUCAACUCCGGGACUGCUUUUGAAACUGUUGAACUAGAGUGCAGGAGAGGGAAGUGGAAUUCCGAGUGUAGCGGUGAAAUGCGUAGAUAUUAGGAGGAACACCAGUGGCGAAGGCGGCUUACUGGACUGUAAAUGACGCUGAGGCUCGAAAGCGUGGGGAGCAAACAGGAUUAGAUACCCUUGUAGUC